Molecule: ribosomal RNA, 104 nt
Organism: Fukomys damarensis (Damara mole-rat)
Lineage: Eukaryota; Metazoa; Chordata; Mammalia; Rodentia; Bathyergidae
Source: Ensembl
GCCAAUCCACCCUGAACAUGCCCAGUCUCAUCUGAUCUUGGAAACUAGGCAGGGCCGGGCCUGGUUAGUACUUGGAUGGUAGAGGAAUGUAGCUAGGAUGGGCA